UUAAGUUAACAAGGGCGCAUGGUGAAUGCCUUGGCACUAGGAGCCGAUGAAGGACGGGACUAACACCGAUAUGCUUCGGGGAGCUGUACGUAAGCUAUGAUCCGGAGAUUUCCGAAUGGGGCAACCCAGCAGUUUUAAUCAACUGUUACCACUAGAUGAAUUCAUAGUCUAGUUGGAGGUAAACGCUGUGAACUGAAACAUCUCAUUAGCAGCAGGAAUAUAAAGAAAUUUCGAUUCCCUAAGUAGCGGCGAGCGAACGGGGAACAGCCCAAACCAAAGUGCUUGCACUUUGGGGUUGUAGGACUGAACAUUUGAGUUACCAAAGAACUUGAUAGUCGAAGGAUUUGGGAAAAUCCGCCAUAGAUGGUGAUAGCCCAGUAGAUUAAAUCAAAUUCUCUCAGUUCAGGAUCCUGAGUACGGCGGAACACGUGAAAUUCCGUCGGAAUCCGGGAGGACCAUCUCCCAAGGCUAAAUACUACCUAGUGACCGAUAGUGAACCAGUACCGUGAGGGAAAGGUGAAAAGCACCCCGGGAGGGGAGUGAAAUAGUUCCUGAAACCAUGUGCCUACAAUAAGUCAGAGCGCGUUAAUGCGUGAUGGCGUGCCUUUUGUAGAAUGAACCGGCGAGUUAUGAUCCCGUGCAAGGUUAAGACUAAAAAGUCGGAGCCGUAGCGAAAGCGAGUCUGAAAUAGGCGUUUUGAGUACGAGGUUAUAGACCCGAAACCAGGUGACCUAUCCAUGUCCAGGUUGAAGGUGCGGUAAAACGCACUGGAGGACCGAACCCGUGUAAGUUGAAAAUUGCUGGGAUGAGGUGUGGAUAGCGGUGAAAUUCCAAACGAACUUGGAGAUAGCUGGUUCUCUCCGAAAUAGCUUUAGGGCUAGCCUCGGAAUUAGGAUCAUGGAGGUAGAGCACUAUUUGGACUAGGGGCCCGUCUUGGGUUACUGAAUUCAGAUAAACUCCGAAUGCCAUUGAUUCAUAUCCGGGAGUCAGACGAUGAGUGAUAAGAUCCACCGUCGAAAGGGGAACAGCCCAGACCAUCAGUUAAGGUCCCUAAAUGUAUGCUAAGUGGAAAAGGAUGUGGAGUUGCAUAGACAACUAGGAUGUUGGCUCAGAAGCAGCCACCAUUUAAAGAGUGCGUAAUAGCUCACUAGUCGAGUGAUCCUGCGCCGAAAAUGUACCGGGGCUAAGCAUACUACCGAAACCAUGGAUGCGACCAUUAGGUCGCGUGAUAGGAGAGCGUUCUAAGGGCGGUGAAGCAAGAUCGUGAGGACUUGUGGAGCGCUUAGAAGUGAGAAUGCCGGUAUGAGUAGCGAAAGAUAGGUGAGAAUCCUAUCCACCGAAUGACUAAGGUUUCCUGGGGAAGGCUCGUCCUCCCAGGGUUAGUCGGGACCUAAGUCGAGGCCGAGAGGCGUAGACGAUGGAUAACAGGUUGAGAUUCCUGUACUAGUUAAGUGCGUUUGAGCAAUGGAGGGACGCAGGAGGCUAAGAUGUGCAUUCUGUUGGAUUAGAAUGUCCAAGCAGUAAGUCAUGUGAAGAGUCAAAUGCUUUUCACUUUAAGGACAAGCUGUGAUGGGGAGCGAAAUUUAGUAGCGAAGCGUCUGAUGUCACACUGCCGAGAAAAGCUUCUAGUGAGUACUUAACUACCCGUACCGCAAACCGACACAGGUAGUCGAGGAGAGAAUCCUAAGGUGAGCGAGUGAACUCUCGUUAAGGAACUCGGCAAAAUGACCCCGUAACUUCGGGAGAAGGGGUGCUGAUCGCAAGAUCAGCCGCAGUGAAUAGGCCCAGGCGACUGUUUAUCAAAAACACAGGUCUCUGCAAAAUCGUAAGAUGACGUAUAGGGGCUGACGCCUGCCCGGUGCUGGAAGGUUAAAAGGAUGGGUUAGCUUCGGCGAAGCUCAGAAUUGAAGCCCCAGUAAACGGCGGCCGUAACUAUAACGGUCCUAAGGUAGCGAAAUUCCUUGUCGGGUAAGUUCCGACCCGCACGAAAGGCGUAACGAUCUGGGCACUGUCUCAACGAGAGACUCGGUGAAAUUAUAUUGUCCGUGAAGAUGCGGACUACCCGCGACAGGACGGAAAGACCCCAUGGAGCUUUACUGUAGCUUGAUAUUGAGUGUUUGUACAGCUUGUACAGGAUAGGUAGGAGCCAUAGAAACCGGAACGCUAGUUUCGGUGGAGGCGUUGGUGGGAUACUACCCUCGCUGUAUGACCACUCUAACCCGCACCACUAAUCGUGGUGGGAGACAGUGUCAGGUGGGCAGUUUGACUGGGGCGGUCGCCUCCUAAAAAGUAACGGAGGCGCCCAAAGGUUCCCUCAGAAUGGUUGGAAAUCAUUCGCAGAGUGUAAAGGCACAAGGGAGCUUGACUGCGAGACAGACAGGUCGAGCAGGGACGAAAGUCGGGCUUAGUGAUCCGGUGGUACCGUAUGGAAGGGCCAUCGCUCAACGGAUAAAAGCUACCCUGGGGAUAACAGGCUUAUCUCCCCAAGAGUCCACAUCGACGGGGAGGUUUGGCACCUCGAUGUCGGCUCAUCGCAUCCUGGGGCUGUAGUCGGUCCCAAGGGUUGGGCUGUUCGCCCAUUAAAGCGGUACGCGAGCUGGGUUCAGAACGUCGUGAGACAGUUCGGUCCCUAUCCGUCGCGGGCGUAGGAAAUUUGAGAGGACCUGUCCUUAGUACGAGAGGACCGGGAUGGACAUACCUCUGGUGUACCAGUUGUGCCGCCAGGCGCAUCGCUGGGUAGCUACGUAUGGAUGUGAUAAACGCUGAAAGCAUCUAAGUGUGAAACACACCUCGAGAUGAGAUUUCCCAUUCCUUUAUGGAAGUAAGACCCCUGAAAGAUGAUCAGGUAGAUAGGUUAGAAGUGGCAGUGCGGUGACGCAUGAAGCGGACUAAUACUAAUCGGUCGAGGACUUAACCAA
Molecule: ribosomal RNA, 2918 nt
Filed under: Lactiplantibacillus plantarum
Lineage: Bacteria; Bacillati; Bacillota; Bacilli; Lactobacillales; Lactobacillaceae
Description: Lactobacillus plantarum 23S ribosomal RNA
Rfam family: Bacterial large subunit ribosomal RNA
Source: RNAcentral